RNAcentral lists this ribosomal RNA (433 nucleotides) under uncultured bacterium. RNAcentral describes it as "partial 16S ribosomal RNA". It matches the Rfam family "Bacterial small subunit ribosomal RNA", at positions 29 to 507 of the family's 1533-position model. The record is from RNAcentral.
AACGAACGCUGGCGGCAGGCCUAACACAUGCAAGUCGAGCGAGGACUUCGGUCCUAGCGGCGGACGGGUGAGUAACGCGUGGGAACGUGCCCUUUGGUUCGGAAUAGCCCUGGGAAAGUGGGAGUAAUACCGGGUGAGCUCUUUGGGGGAAAGAUGUAUCGGCGAAGGAUCGGCCCGCGUUAGAUUAGGUAGUUGGUGGGGUAAUGGCCUACCAAGCCGACGAUCCAUAGCUGGUGUGAGAGGAUGAUCAGGCACACUGGGACUGAGACACGGCCCAGACUCCCACGGGUGGCAGCAGGGGGGACUCUUCGACACUGGGGGAAUCCAUGAUCUAUCCAUGCCGUGUGAGUGUGUAAGGCCUUAGGGUUGUAAAGCUCUUUGAGCAGGGAAGAUAAUGACGGUACCAGCAGAAGAAGCCCCGGCUAACUCCGUG